Molecule: long non-coding RNA, 2821 nt
Organism: Oncorhynchus tshawytscha (Chinook salmon)
Lineage: Eukaryota; Metazoa; Chordata; Actinopteri; Salmoniformes; Salmonidae
Source: Ensembl
GUGGGAGGAGGGUUGGGAGGUGGGAGGAGGGUUGGGAGGUGGAAGUUGGGCUGUGAGGAGGGCUGGGAGGUGGAAGUUGGGCUAUGAGGAGGGCUGGGAGGUGAAAGUUGGGCUGUGAGGAGGGUUGGGAGGUGGGAGGUGGGCUAGGAGGUGGGAGGAGGGUUGGGAGGUGGAAGUUGGGCUGUGAGGAGGGCUGGAAGGUGGAAGUUGGGCUGUGAGGAGGGCUGGGGGGUAGAAGUUGGGCUGUGAGGAGGGCUGUGAGGUUUGGGUGGCUCAAAUAAUCAAACAGGAAUGUGGAAUACAAGGGAUUGAGGCCAUUCACUGAAUCCACCCAGAACACAUCCUGCCUGGGAAAAUCUAUACAACUGUUAGCUUUUAUGUUGACCUUGACAAUGAUUUCAUCAUGCUAAACUGUACAUGUCAAUAUUUUGGCCACCCAGACAGACAAACAGACAAAAACAUCCAGAAAUCAACUACUGGUACAAAACUGUAGAUGCAAGUAUUUAAGACAUUCUCUUUGUUGGUCUUUGGAACUCUCCCCUGUCAUAUUCCCUCCCAUACAUCAGUGCCCAUAUGGUGAAGAGCACUGCGGUGUCUGCCUGCCCUUUACAUUUACAGGAGUCAGUUAACUACACAUCCUCUUCCUCCUCCUCAUCUUCACACUCACACUACACUAAAAUGUCAGUAUUCUGACUUGAGAUCUACAUGCUUAGCUUGUAUUUUUCAUGCAAGUCUCCCAUUGACAUUGAUAAAUGAUGUACACAGAAGUCUGAGCUACAUACGCUCGUCUCAAGUCAGAAUAUUGAAUAUUUGAGUGUGGGACUUAAAAUAAAGCAGAUAUGCCUCAUAGCAGAGUCGACAUUUAAAUGUGAGAUGUUACUCUACCCAGAGUCCACCUCUAAAACAAACACAUUCCCACCCACUGGCCACUUACACUCUAGGUAAUCUAAAGUGUCCAUCCGUAUACUGACUCCUAACUCCAGACCUCUGACCUGUUUACCUCACUGACCAUAUGGUUGGAACAGGUUGCACUUUGGGAGAAACUGAACUGUGCAAAAAAAGCAGACCAAAGGAUAAACAAUAAAAUAGAGCAUCUAUAACAAGGGUCAUGCAUGAUUUACCCUUAAAAAGAUCUACAUUCAUUUACCUGGAAAUGAAUGCAGGCAGAGAAACAAUAAAUAAAGUAAAGUCAUUUUUGUAUAAAUUAAGAUUUAUGAAACAUGAUACACUGGAGCAAGAUAAGACAAGAAUGUAUUACGUUUCCGUUUUGGUUAGGAAGUUAACAAGAUGCUCUUGGCCAGAGAAGUUCAUCAUGCCAAUCAUACUUGAGUCCCCAUAUCCAUGGUGCAUGCUCUGAAGAGUUCAGAAUAAUCUUCUAGGCAAAGUAGAAAAUGUAUCCAUCAGUGAUCCAACAAAACAAUACUGCUCAUUGGAAUGACUUCGGAACAAACAGUAAAUAGUGUGCAAGAGCAAACCCUUCAGGGCUGGAUGCAAUCCGUAAAGGAAGCUUAACAUUUUAAAGGUCAUUUCCGAUUGAGCCGACAUAUGCAGCUAUUACCGUGAAUGCAGUCUCCGCGAACAUGGAAACAUUGCCUUUCAAUUUCAAUCACGCUGUAAUCCUGAUAUUCAGCACUACAGAUUGAAUCGAGCCCUUAGUGUCCAACUGAGCUUGAAUUAGCAUUUUCUUCAGUUCUGUGUUGCAUUGUCCACUUCUCUUCUUUGAUCAUUGUUAUUUUGGGUCAGGAGAGUGUAGUGACCUACAGCAAGAAUGGCGUUGGGGGAGGCAGGGCGAAAGGGGGUGGUAACUUUACAUCGGUAGACAUGUCAGGACAUGACCCUCCUUCACCCUCUCCCCAACUCCCCUCUCAGACUCAGCUGGUGCUGGCACUUCAAGUCCUCACAACACGUAGUGACAGCUAGAGCCAGGUCUCACAGCAAACUGCCAAAGAGGAACUUCCAACACCCAUUACAACGUUUUAAACCCCAAACGCCUACUAGGUGAUGGGGACAGGAAGAGGAGGGGAGGAGGUUGUCAAUCUCUGUCUUUCUCUCCUCUUCCUUGGCGAGGGCAGAACGACUGGAACAAGAAGAGUCUAAAGUCUCAGAUACACUAGGGAGAGAACUGUUUAUGGAUCAGCUGCUCAUAAUCAAGCUGAAGAGGAGUCUCUGGUCACUAUCCUCUCUCCCCUCAUAUGUAUCCUAUGUCCAAACAGGUGCUCCUUAAUGCUAUUACAUUAAAGGCCCUGUGCAGAGAAUGUUUCUUCUUCAUUUUUCAAAUUUCAUAUCACAGAAUUAUCAGAGUGAGAAGAGCAAAGACAUAGUCCGUAGUACAAGUAUUUCAUGAUUGAACGGAAAGAAAUCCAGGCUGUGUGAGUGUGUGACUGACUGAUAUGUUGAUGGGUGUUUCAUGGAAGGCUGAGACGCACAGGCGCGGUAAGCCGAUAGUACACUGGGAUUAGGGGGUUGUUGGAUUUUACAGUACAAGCAGCAGGUUGCUGGAUCUUACAGUACAAGCAGCAGGUUGCUGGAUCUUACAGUACAAGCAGCAGGUUGUUGGGUUUGUUUGCAUGAAUAACGUCCAAACCUCUCUCUCAGAAACGAUAUGACAUCAUUGACAUCAUCCUGUGUACAAGGUCCUCUCAGGAGCAUUGAUGGUUCUUUACACGUCUGUAAAAUCACAGUAGCAUUAGGGUGGAUCAUGUGUUUUCACACUUAUACAAUGGUUCAGUUGUUUUCAUGAAGAAAAUUAGAAAGUCUUAUUUUUUUAUUGCACAGACAGGAAGUUAAAGAGUGUGAUUCUAUCUUCACAGCUGGAAUCCAG